AUGCCAAUGGACCUCUAUCUAUUCUCUAAUUCACCCGAUCCGAUAGUACCCAUUUUUGGAACGUCCAGUGCCAAAGUCACAGAAUGGGUAAGUCACCAAUCCAAUCCCUUUGACAAAUCGGAUGUAAUAUUAGAUAUCAUAUUCUAUAUAUAUAGAAAUAUCAUAGGUAGAAUAGACAUAUAG
This 183-nucleotide ribosomal RNA is filed under the name Triticum aestivum (bread wheat). RNAcentral describes it as "partial small subunit ribosomal RNA". Lineage: Eukaryota; Viridiplantae; Streptophyta; Magnoliopsida; Poales; Poaceae. The record is from RNAcentral.